GACGAACGCUGGCGGCGUGCUUAACACAUGCAAGUCGAACGGUAAGGCCCUUCGGGGUACACGAGUGGCGAACGGGUGAGUAACACGUGGGUAACCUGCCCUAUACACACGGAUAACGUACCGAAAGGUACGCUAAUACGGGAUAAAGUUGUUGGAUGGCAUCUUCUAACAAUCAAAGCUCCGGCGGUAUAGGAUGGACCCGCGUCUGAUUAGCUAGUUGGUGAGGUAAUGGCUCACCAAGGCGACGAUCAGUAGCCGACCUGAGAGGGUGAUCGGCCACACUGGAACUGAGACACGGUCCAGACUCCUACGGGAGGCAGCAGUGGGGAAUAUUGCACAAUGGGCGAAAGCCUGAUGCAGCAACGCCGCGUGAGCGAUGAAGGUCUUCGGAUCGUAAAGCUCUGUCCUCAAGGAAGAUAAUGACGGUACUUGAGGAGGAAGCCCCGGCUAACUACGUGCCAGCAGCCGCAGUAA
RNAcentral lists this ribosomal RNA (474 nucleotides) under uncultured bacterium. Its description in RNAcentral is "partial 16S ribosomal RNA". It matches the Rfam family "Bacterial small subunit ribosomal RNA", at positions 28 to 523 of the family's 1533-position model. The record is from RNAcentral.